RNAcentral lists this RNase P RNA (145 nucleotides) under Halorubrum sp. SD626R. Its description in RNAcentral is "partial RNase P RNA component". It matches the Rfam family "Archaeal RNase P", at positions 1 to 143 of the family's 288-position model. Rfam says of the family: Ribonuclease P (RNase P) is a ubiquitous endoribonuclease, found in archaea, bacteria and eukarya as well as chloroplasts and mitochondria. Its best characterised activity is the generation of mature 5'-ends of tRNAs by cleaving the 5'-leader elements of precursor-tRNAs. Cellular RNase Ps are ribonucleoproteins. Lineage: Archaea; Methanobacteriati; Methanobacteriota; Halobacteria; Halobacteriales; Haloferacaceae. The record is from RNAcentral.
GACAGAGGGAGCCCGACUCCCGUGCCUCCGGCAUGAGGAAAGUCCCCCCACCGGCCGGACGGGCGACCGGGCACACGCCCGGAGUCGGAGACGGCUGGCUCUGGAACAGCAACGACACCCCCCACCUCGACCGAUGAUCCGCGUU